This 590-nucleotide ribosomal RNA is filed under the name uncultured bacterium. RNAcentral describes it as "bacterial SSU rRNA". It matches the Rfam family "Bacterial small subunit ribosomal RNA", at positions 797 to 1386 of the family's 1533-position model. The record is from RNAcentral.
ACGCNGUAAACGCUGAGUGCUAGGUGUUAGGUCCUUUCCGGGACUUAGUGCCGACGCUAACGCAUUAAGCACUCCGCCUGGGGAGUACGACCGCAAGGUUGAAACUCAAAGGAAUUGACGGGGGCCCGCACAAGCGGUGGAGCAUGUGGUUUAAUUCGAAGCAACGCGAAGAACCUUACCAGGUCUUGACAUCCCGAUGCCCGCUCUAGAGAUAGAGUUUUACUUUUUGUACAUCGGAGACAGGUGGUGCAUGGUUGUCGUCAGCUCGUGUCGUGAGAUGUUGGGUUAANNNNNNNNACGAGCGCAACCCUUAUUGUUAGUUGCCAUCAUUAAGUUGGGCACUCUAGCGAGACUGCCGGUAAUAAACCGGAGGAAGGUGGGGAUGAUGUCAAAUCAUCAUGCCCCUUAUGACCUGGGCUACACACGUGCUACAAUGGUUGGUACAACGAGUCGCAAGCCGGUGACGGCAAGCUAAUCUCUGAAAGCCAAUCUCAGUUCGGAUUGUAGGCUGCAACUCGCCUACAUGAAGUCGGAAUCGCUAGUAAUCGCGGAUCAGCACGCCGCGGUGAAUACGUUCCCGGGCCUUGUNC